UACGGAGGGUGCAAGCGUUAUCCGGAUUUAUUGGGUUUAAAGGGUCCGUAGGCGGUCUUGUAAGUCAGUGGUGAAAGCCCAUCGCUCAACGGUGGAACGGCCAUUGAUACUGCAGGACUUGAAUUAUUGGGAAGUAACUAGAAUAUGUAGUGUAGCGGUGAAAUGCUUAGAGAUUACAUGGAAUACCAAUUGCGAAGGCAGGUUACUACCAAUGGAUUGACGCUGAUGGACGAAAGCGUGGGUAGCGAACAGG
This 253-nucleotide ribosomal RNA is filed under the name uncultured bacterium. RNAcentral's name for it is "partial 16S ribosomal RNA". It matches the Rfam family "Bacterial small subunit ribosomal RNA", at positions 524 to 776 of the family's 1533-position model. The record is from RNAcentral.